Long non-coding RNA from Equus caballus (horse), 4429 nucleotides. The record is from Ensembl. NCBI's taxonomy places the organism in Eukaryota, Metazoa, Chordata, Mammalia, Perissodactyla, Equidae.
GAUUUCACAAAUAAGCUAUGCAUUUCACUAUUUCCUACUAAUAUGCAAAAAAUGUAUUUAUGAUAAUUACAUGUACUGUGUGCCAGAACUGAAACAAUACAUUCCUCAUAAUGGAGCAUAAAUAAAGAAGGUGGAGCCAGCUGCUCUUAAACUGUUUAUUUGCAAGCAGUAAUGAUAUAGAGAAUAUACCUUUUUCACUGUUAGUCUGGCAAUACUGAACCUGUUGCUGCAUUAGACGAGUUGCAUUUUGCUGGAUAGGGGAAGGAGGGCUGUCUGCUGUCUGGUAGGAGGGCUUUGUCUGUGCCUUUCUCUCUCUGUUUCUUUCUGUUUUUCUUUCUCUCUCUCUCUCCUCUUCUCUCUCUCUCCCACUCGCUUGCUCUGUCUCUGUCUCUCUCUCCCUCUCUGCCCCCCCUCUCCCUCCCUCUCUCUUGCUCUCUCUCUCUCUUCCCGUCUCUGUGGUUUGUAAGGUAGGUUGCAGUGUGUGUAUAUACACAACAUCAAGAGCAGGAAAAUGGACUCAUUAGGGAGGCAGGCAGUCAUUACCACUCACACUGUACUUCCAGGGAGACACCGAUUAUGAGAAGAGAAACUCAGCGCUGGGGAAGAAGAGAAUGACAGGCAGUGACUACCAUUUAUUGAAUCACCCUUUGUGCUGGUAACUGAACUGUGAGGUAAAUAUUAUCUUAUUAUUCUUCACAACAAUCUCAUAAGGCAGAUAUUUACAUUUUAUCAAUGAGGAAUCUAUGGCUACGUUAGAUUAAAUAACUUCCAUAAGGCUACACAUCUAGUUAUGGAGGAGUUAUUCAGAAUCAGUGGUGUAAUAGGCAAAAAAGGAUUGCUGAGACUAAGGUGUAUACUGUUAUGGAUAAUGAAAGGAGUUUCUCACUUUUUUCCAGUAAACAGAGGAAGAUGAGCUUUUUCGAGAAAGAGUGGGAAAGGGGGAGGGAGGAAGGGCAAACGUUUGUGUUUUUGACCGGUAGGAGUGAGUUUGUCAGAGAAUAGAAGGCUGAUGCCUCACUGUGGCCUGUCUUUCCAAAGCCCUAGGUGCUGCUUUUGGUACUGUUGUAGACACAGGCAUCCAGGGCGGCUGAAACACUGCAUUAUGCCUUGCUGGGGCCAGUUGAGGGACCGGAAGCAGUGGUGGCUGCAGGGGAGGUUCUUAGAACUUUUAACUCUAUUUGGAACAGCUUUUAUGGGCAAACUUAUCAGCACAGCUAUUCCAGACUGUCAGAGCCCAGGAAACCUGAUGCUGUGUAUGAGUGCCACAUCAGUUUCACUAUUGAUUUGACCUCAAAGCCCGUGGUCCCAACCAGUGUGCUGUUUUGUAUAACAAUUAUAUCAUUCAAUGUACCUACAGCAACUGCAGAAAAACACCUAUUCCUGCACAGUUUUAAACUCCGAAGUAACCUUCAGCUCUAGCCCAGAGGAAAAUAAAAAUCCAAUUAUAUAAUAUGAUCUUUUACUAUGAAUGGGGAACCCCAAACGUGUGAAACAAUUAGAAAUUCUCCGUUUCUUUUAAUCACAGGAAUAUUCACACCUGUGUGAAUUACAGAGCUAAAAAACACCCCCGACUCUCCGAAGUUCUACUAUAAAGAAGUCUAGUUAUUUGCCUUAGUUUCAAAAGAAAAGUUCCCUAAGUAUUUCAAAAUGUUCGACUGGCUGCCCCAGCUAUUCUCUUUGGAAGCUUCUUUCUCAUCCUCAUGGCACAUCCCUCUGGCAUGCAUGACCAGCUGCAAGCUAAACCCUGUGGAAUAAGAAUUCUUUCAUCCCUUUGUGUGAUGUGUUUCAUUUUCAGAGUUUGGAUGAUCCUCCUCGGCAGCAGCGGCAGGCAUUGUUAGUUUCAAUAGGAGGCCUGGAUGCACAAGAACAGUCAUCCUAGAGAGCCAGGCUCUCGGGGUCCGUUCCUUCGCACCACGGUGCUGUGUUAGAUCACUUUCUCCUGCUGGAUUAAUGACCAGGAAAAAAGGCCUCGCUUGCCUGUGUUGGGAUCAGUUACUCCAUAGAAGUCCCUGGGUCUAGUGACAAGAAGCUGCCUCGGUUAUCAAGGUUCUUUCUUGUUAUGUAGUCCUGUAUGUGUCUUCCUAUUUGCCUUGUGCUAUACCUUCUUUCCUGUAUAUCUGAUCUUUAACCAUUUUUCAGGACUCUGAGCAUUCUGCUUUAUUUUGCCCUUUUAUAUUUGUGGUCUCACCAGUACCUGCUUGACUGCAUUUAUAUGUAGGGAAUAAUUCAGUAAAAAUUAAAUGGGAUAAAUUUAUAACUGAAAACUUUUCUGUACCAACUGUAAGGAUGAGAUUUUUUCUCUCUUUUUUCUUUUCUGUUAUCAGCCUUUGCUCUUCAUGGGACUACUCAAAAUACAAAGGUUGGUACACUAAAAGCAAAUUCUGAGAUACAAAUUUGUUGCUAUCUCUGGGAACGCUCAAUCUGUCAGUGAGAAGCAUAUGCCAAGAAAAUUUUCAGGUUGCUGCAGCUUUGGUCACUUGAAGCAACUUGCCUGCCCUCACUAAAUAUGCAUUUUAUUUUAAUAUUUUAUUUCAUGAAAACUAUUUAAGCCUAGACAGUAAAACUCAUGUAAUCUGUUUUGUUCUUCUCUUUAAACGAAUUAGGAAUCACGACAAUCUCACCUUUGGGAACUGUUAUUAUGAUAAUUUGGCCCAUUUGUCCUGUUGUCUUGGUUGGCCUUUAGAAUGUAUAAUCAUUCAAUUUUGUCUCAUCAGGACUAUUUCCAAAAAGGAAACGAGGGGUCAGCUUUUACUGUAGGGUUCCACAUUUACUGAGAUAGCAGUGUCUUAUUUUUCCAUCUGGGUAUUUGACUCUGGGAAAAUUACCAUGGCGUAUAACUGCCAGCUGCACAAAGGUGGUGCCAGUUUUGUCAGCAACUUAUGAAAAACUCCUAAAUGAAUAUGUAUGACAAAACAGUAUACACAUUUUCUUGCAUGGUAGUGAAGAGGUGGACUUGUGUUAAAAUAUAAAACCACACGAUAAAACCCGUCAGCUCAUGAAGGGUUCAAACUAGACCUGUGUGGUUGUAGGAGUGCAGACUGGCCAGCCUGAGUGGGUGUGAAUCCUAGUUCUGCCACUCAGCAGACCGGUGAUCUUCGGCAAAUCGCUUAAUCUCUGUGCCUCAGUUUACAUGUCAAUAAAAUGGGGAUAAUGACAUCUAAUAUCUAGGUACCUGCCUCCUGGAGUUUUUGUGAGGUUUAAAUAGGUAAAUAUACAUAAAAGUACUUAGAACAAAACCUGAAUACAGAGCAUGCUUAUGUAUUUGCUAAUAUCACAUAAUCUGUAGAAGUGAAGAUGAAAAUGUAGCUGUUAUCUGAGCCUGCCUCCUCUAAGAGUUACAAAAGUGUGAGAAAAUUCUUACCACUUCUAGAAUGUGGAAUAAUUUGAAAACAGCACUAUUUUGUUUUAAAGCUCAAGCAUUGAUAGUGCAAUUGUCCUGAAAGGAGACAUAUUUAACCUUUAACCAAGAUGAAAUUAAGCAGAAUUGUUUUUAUACUCCCCUUUUAGAAAAAAGGAGACGAAUCAUUAGAAAAUAGUUCAUUUUUAGGGGUAUCUUCAAAAAGCAACUUUAAGCAUGCUUGUUAUGUUCUAGGGUCACUGUGUAGUCAGUACAAUAUCCUAUGUCUACGUGUUUAGAAUUCUGUCAAAUUAGAAGGCAAGUGGUCGUUACGUGGGUCUCUGGACUCCUGGAAAUUUUAUACAAAAUUUUGUGAACAUAUAUACUUUUCUAGAGAAGAAGAGCCUUGGUUUUUAUCAUCUUCUCAGAGGGACUUAUCCCCCAAAAGAUCAAGAACCACUCUCUAAAGCAGUAUAAAUUUUUCAUCUUCAGUGAAAGACAAAAUUGUAAUACCCUAUUUACCAAGGUAGCGAAAUCUGCUAGUAUAUCCUAGGUUUUUAUUUAAAAGGAUCAAAAUGAAAACUUUAUUCUCCCUGGUGAACUUUUAGCUAACCAUAGAAUUUAAUUAUUUGGUGUUCUAGGUAAUAAUCAAUGUUUACUUGUGUCAAACAGCCAUCAUUCUUCAGUAUAUUAGUUGAGCUGGUAUUUUGUCCAGAGAAAAUGAUGAUUUUUGUCUUCUGUUCAUUCUUUCUUUUUGUCCUUCUAGUUUCAGAAUUAUUGACAUUUUGCAUAGUUUCACAAUUGUGUACUUCUUAUGAUGUACUUAGGAGUAAGAAUGUUCUAGAAAUGCUUUCUCCAAAACCGUUAUUAUAUCAAUCUCAUUAAUAUAAUUUAGCCCAGAAUGUUUCUACUCGUUCUGUCCAAAUGUAUUGUGACAUAAAGUAUCUGAAAGAGGACAAAGGAAAGUUGGAAAGAAGGGAAUUUUAUUGACUGCUGAAAUCUCAAAAAUGUGUUGUAUUGGCUUAUGCGCUUGUGCAAAUGUUUAAGUUUCCAUUUACUUUCGUGUUUUUUCAUUGCUUUUAGUAAAAUGCC